GACGAACCGUCCUAACGUUGUUCGGAAUCACUGGGCUUAAAGGGCGCGUAGGCGGGCAUGCCAGUCCGGGGUGAAAUCUUUCGGCUUAACCGGAAAAGGGCCUUGGAUACUGCAUGUCUCGAGGGAGGUAGGGGUCUGUGGAACUGCGGGUGGAGCGGUGAAAUGCGUUGAUAUCCGCAGGAACGCCGGUGGCGAAAGCGAGGUCCUGGAUGCCUACUGACGCUGAGACGCGAAAGCCAGGGGAGCGAACGGG
This 253-nucleotide ribosomal RNA is filed under the name uncultured bacterium. RNAcentral's name for it is "partial 16S ribosomal RNA". It matches the Rfam family "Bacterial small subunit ribosomal RNA", at positions 524 to 776 of the family's 1533-position model. The record is from RNAcentral.